RNAcentral lists this ribosomal RNA (836 nucleotides) under uncultured marine bacterium. RNAcentral describes it as "bacterial SSU rRNA". It matches the Rfam family "Bacterial small subunit ribosomal RNA", at positions 56 to 889 of the family's 1533-position model. The record is from RNAcentral.
UGCAGUCGAGCGUGAAGCCCCUUCGGGGGUGAGUAGAGCGGCGGACGGGUGAGUAACACGUGGUCAAGCUACCCCCGAGACCGGGAUAACCAGAGGAAACCGAAGCUAAUACCGGAUAAGACCACAUUAUCUGCGGAUAAAGGGGUAAAAGUUUUUCGCCUUUUGAUGGGUCCAUGCUCCAUUAGCUUGUUGGUAGGGUAAUAGCCUACCAAGGCAACGAUGGUUAGCUGAUCUGAGAGGAUGAUCAGCCACACUGGAACUGAAAUACGGUCCAGACUCCUACGGGAGGCAGCAGUGGGGAAUAUUGCGCAAUGGGGGAAACCCUGACGCAGCAACGCCGUGUGAGUGACGAAGGCUUUCGGGUCGUAAAACUCUGUCGAAAGGGACGAAACUACCAAGAGCUAAUAUCUCUUGGUAUUGACGGUACCUUUAGAGGAAGCACCGGCUAACUCCGUGCCAGCAGCCGCGGUAAUACGGAGGGUGCAAGCGUUGUUCGGAAUUACUGGGCGUAAAGCGCGCGUAGGUGGUUCUUUAUGUCGGGUGUGAAAGCCCUGGGCCUAACCCAGGAAGUGCGCUCGAAACUGAAGAACUUGAGUACGAGAGGGUGGUAGAAUUUCUUGUGUAGCAGUGAAAUGCGUAGAUAUGAGAAGGAAUACCAGUGGCGAAGGCGGCCACCUGGAUCGAUACUGACGCUGAGGUGCGAAAGCGUGGGGAGCAAACGGGAUUAGAUACCCCGGUAGUCCGCGCCGUAAACGAUGUCUAUUAGCCGUUGGGAGACUUGAUCUCUUAGUGGCGCAGCUAACGCGAUAAAUAGACCGCCUGGGGAGUACGGUCGC